GGAACGGAUCAGCUGGGAAUGCCUGUCAGGCCUGUCAGGCAGCCAGUGAGCUCCCUCCCUUCUCGCUGGCUUUCUUUGAGCACAGGGGCAGCAGCCAGGCACGCUUUCUGGCUGCAUUGUUUGCUGCUAGCGAGAGAGAUUGUGAGUGGGGAGCAGCAUGGCAGAACAAGAAGCCAGUGGCUUGAAAGUCCUUCUUUCCACCCUCCAGAGCUCCUGUGACAAGGAUGUCCUCCUAAAUAUCCUCAGUGUCCUCACUGACCUGCUGUCUUUGGGGACUGGACGAAGAAUUCACUAUGUGAUCAGCAAAGGGGGUAGUGAGGCACUGCUGCAGGCCCUCAUCUCUGCUGCCCGGACCGAGCCACCCGACCCCACCAUCCUCCUGCCUCUGCUUCGCCUCCUGGCCAGGGUUGGCCAACAAGACCGGAAGUUUGGGAUUAAAGUGCAGAAAGCAGAAGCAACUGAUGUAAUUCUGAGCUUGACGAGGCAAAACCUGGGUCACCACCUGAACCUCACCCACUGCCUCUGGGUCCUGCGGGUUUGUGCUUCUAAUGUUGCUGCCGGAACCACGCUUGGCAUCAAUGGAGCCAUGGAGCUGCUUUUCAAAGUCAUCACUCCCUACAGCAAGCAGCACAUCAGGACUGUAAGGGCAGCCAUUGAGGCUCUGGCAGCAUUGCUGAAAUCAAAAUCUAACAGUCGACAAGCAGUGAACAGAGGUUAUCUGGGUGGAUUGCUGAGGCUCUAUCAAGACUGGCAUCACAACGAUGUCUCCAACAACUACAUUUAUAUUCGUAGAGGUCUCCUGCUCUGCCUAAAGCACAUCACCAACAUCCAGCUGGGCAGGGAGACUUUCCUUGGUUCUCGAGGUAUGGAGAUUCUCUUCACAAGUGUGCAGGACUGUUUAUCUUGCAAGAAUCUGGAUCCAAUUGUAACCACUGUGACUCAGAUUCUACGGAAGUGCUACCCCAAGGAACCUCUGCCUCUGGUGACAGUGAGAAGUUGCUAUUCCUUCCCUCUUCCUGGGAACAUCAAGACUGAAUGUCCAUGUAUGGGAUCUGAAGGUGAAUUGCUGAAGGAUGAUAAUGAAAGUGAUAGUGAGGAAGACACGGAGAAAGACCUGAAUAAAGAUGAUGUGGAGGGAAAAGAGGAAGAUUAUGAUUUGGAGACAGAUGUAAACAAAUUGAGGUCAAGGCCAGGGCUUGACCGGCCAGAGGAAGAGCUUGGGCAAUAUGAAGCUAUGUGUCCAGAACUUUCCCGUAAUUUUCAGGAGCUUGAUUCAGAGUCCGAAGAAGAGAAGAAGUCAGAAGACAGGACUGAGAAUCUUCCCUCCACUUCAUCUCAUUUCAUUCCAAGUGGUAAUUCUGUGAAAGAUCCAAACCAUAGAUGGAGGACCCAAAGUGACACAGAGGCAGAAUCAGAUCCACGGGAGAAGGAUUUCAAAGCUUCACUGCAGAGUUCAAUAAAGAAGGAGAAAUGCUCAAGGAGUCUGCUCAGUGAAAAGAGAGAGAUUGCUGAAACAGUCCAAAAUGCAAAUUCCUAUGAAGAAGAGCCAGCCAAGAGUCAUACAUUUUCUCCAUGUCCCCUCCCCAAAGAAGCUGCUUGGUACAAAAAAAUAUUUAACCCUGAGUGUGACCCUUCAAUUGAUCCUACUUCUGGAGUCAGAUCAGAGACCACAGAAAUAAUGACAGACCUUCUGGAGGAACACCAAGGGAAUAUUCCAUUCCACAGCCCUCACUUCUACAUAGCCAGGGCCAAAUGUACCAAGUCCAUACCAGCCUACAGAGACUUGGCAUUCCCUGAUUUCUGGGGCCACCAGCCUCCUGCUUAUGGCACGCCCAUGCUGGAUCGGCAGUAUGGAGUUCAAAGGGACAAAGUACUUGAUGAUGUUCGUCGCUUAAUCCAGCCUGGUGAUUUGAUUGGAAGAACUGUUUUUGAUUUAGAUGAGCCCAGUCACUCAAGCCCAGGUGCUCCAAGCUGUCUGACAUUCUUCUCCAAGUUUGAAUCGGGUAACCUUCGCAAAGCCAUCCAAGUGCGUGAGUUUGAGUAUGAUUUAAUUAUGAAUGCAGAUGUGAACACCAACCAGCAUCACCAGUGGUUCUACUUUCAAGUCCGUGGCAUGAAAUCAGCAGUUCCCUAUCGCUUCAACGUUAUCAACUGUGAGAAGCUCAAUAGCCAGUUUAAUUACGGCAUGCAGCUGGUUCUGUAUUCGGUGAAGGAAGCUCUCCAGGGCAGGCCUCGCUGGCUUCGAGCAGGACAUGAUAUCAGCUACUACAAAAACCACUACUGCUGCAGUGCAGCUCCAGGAGGAGGCUCAAGAGGAAAAUGCUAUUACACUCUCACCUUCAGCAUCAAGUUCCCUCACGAAGAUGAUGUCUGCUAUCUGGCCUACCAUUACCCCUACACCUACUCUGCAAUGAUGUCCCAUCUUGAUGUCCUGGAACAAAGCAGGAACCCCAAGAAGGUCUACUGGAGGCAACAAGCGCUUUGCCAGACACUAGGAGGAAAUACAUGCCCAUUGCUCACAAUCACUGCUAUGCCAGAAUCUAAAACAAGUGAUGACUUGGAACAAUUCUACAGUCGUCCUUAUGUCUUUCUGAUGGCCCGUGUUCACCCUGGUGAAAGCAACGCCAGCUGGGUAAUGAAGGGGACCUUGGAGUUCCUUGUGAGCAGUGAUCCCAUUGCUGAUCUCCUGAGGAAAUGUUUCAUUUUCAAGAUUGUCCCCAUGCUCAAUCCUGAUGGAGUCAUCAAUGGCAACCACCGUUGUUCCUUGAGUGGAGAUGAUCUGAACAGACAGUGGCUGACGCCCAGUUCUCAGCUUCAUCCAACAAUUUACCACACCAAAGGUCUUCUGUAUUAUCUGCGCAGCAUCGGCCGGGCCCCUCUGGUAUUCUGUGACUACCAUGGCCACUCCCAGAAAAAGAAUGUGUUCCUCUAUGGUUGCAGCAUCAAGGAGACUUUGUGGCAAGCAGGCUGCACGGUUGACACAGCAGUUAUCACAGAAGAUGUUGGCUACAGGACUCUCCCUAAAAUCCUGGACAAAGUGGCCCCUGCGUUUGUCAUGAACAGCUGCAGCUUCCUUGUAGAAAAGUCCCGCAAGUCGACGGCCCGGGUGGUGGUGUGGCAGGAAAUGGGUGUGCUGAGGAGCUACACCAUGGAGAGCACGUACUGCGGCUGCAGCCACGGCCUCUACAAAGGCUUGCAGCUGGGAACUCAAGAGCUGGAGGAGAUGGGAAGCAAGUUUUGCCUUGCUCUGCUCAUUCUGCACCUCAAAUCCUUGCCCUGCAGCAAGAAGGUGAUGGCUCAGGCAGCGCUACUCCUAGAUCUGGAGGAAGAAAUAACAAUAACAGACCGGGCACAAAGGUGCAGCCCAGACAACACUGAAACCCUGGGAAUCUGCUGGCAGUGACUAAUGUUCAUCUCCUUCCCCCUCUGUGCUGUGGUCCUGUUUACCCAAGAUUCUGCCAAGGCUUCCAUCGCAGACAUGAAGAAAUCUGGAAAGCCACCUCCAUGCCCUGAUGUAGCACUACAGCAGAGCCCUGAAGUGGCAGCUGUGAAAUGCAGAACAGCCAGACAAAGCUGGUAACAUGUUUGUACAGCCCGUGGUGUCAGGAGGAAUCAGCUCCACGGAGCAGACGAGGAGACCGAGAAGUGAAGUUUUAGGUUCUCUCCUUGGUUUGCUACAUUGCAAAGCAAGCUGUCCUCAAGUCCUCUGGGAAGUCUCUGCACAACAAUUAUCCCUCUCUUCGAGUCUGAAACGGAAUUACUGCACAGGAAUCUGGCGAGGUUCAGAGAAACACUGAAAGGUUCUCGCAUUAGAGACUUCAAAGUGUGACCCUGUGAAUGCCAGAGGCCAGCUAGCACCUUCCUCCAGAAGCACGUAUCGGGUCUUGACCACAGAGGGUGGUUAGUGUGCAGCACUGCAGUACACACAACCCAACCUGCUGCAAAAUUACUCCCCCACAUGGAUCCCCUCCACUGAGGACAAUGUGGGGCACAACGCUGUGCUUGGGAAGAUGCUUUCCUUUGAAAUAAGGCUGAGCUACAAGGAAAACUGCCUGCAGAAGAGCUUUGCUGAAUUUAAGUGCGCAGAGCUCUGGGGCAGAUGAUGGAGUGGUGUUCUCACCCUGGCCUGGAGAAGAACCUGUCUGUGAAGAGCACUAGAGACAAUUUCUCCAUUACAUAACCCGGCCUCAACUCCACUGAAGCUGUUAACAAAGGGCUAACAGCACGGUUUUGUGAUGUGAUUCCUUUCCAAUUGCAGCUGGAUCCAGAGAAGGUGUUUUAAAGCUGCUGCACAGAGGUAGUGAUCUUGCUGUACAUGGAGGAGUCCCCUGGUGUAACGCCAUCUCUCUGUUACUGUCUGUGAUGAACUCUUAAAACAAGGACUUACAGAUUUUGUCACCAUACGAGAAGCAGGGUCACAGACACAUGGUAUCAAACACAGGCUCCUUCCUCACCUGUUGACCAGACGGACUCAGCAAUAGUUUAGAACUAAGUUGAACUGAGUGCAGUAGAAGAAUAAAAUUUGUUCCUACAGAAAUGCGAGUGUUUUUUCCCAAAAGCAUGAAACAUAAUUAAUGGACGUGACUUCUGCACCAAAAAAAGUCAUAUUGGCUAUGAACUGACUGGCAAGACUUACAACAUCUCAUGGCUCACAUGGGACUGGGAUCCAAAUAUCUAGAAUGUCAUUAAGUCAGAUUUGGGCAUCAAAUUUGAGCCUCUGGCAGCAGGAUGUCAAAUCCUGGGCUGAGCCUCUUCUGGCUUAUUAGUUCCCGAGCUCAAAAUGACAGACUGUUUCUACAGCAAGCAAACUGCUGCUCCAAAAGAAGAGAUCAGUGGGAGCAGUUGGGCAUUGACGAGCAAAGGCCGAGUGCCUGCUCCAUGAUGUUUAGGUCUUUGUGAUAAUAAUUAGAUCUUAAAAUGUGUCAGUUCUGUAUAGGGCAAAUCAUCAGCAUAGGCCAGCAGCCUGUUUCCAUGGGAGUGAGUGUGUCUGCUGCUGUGUGACUUGCAUAAGAGCUAGCUAAUGCAGCUGUGACCCUGCAUAGCUGUAUCUCAGCUUGUAAGCUGUGGAAGCAGGAUGGGAAUGAUGUGAAAAUGAAGGACUCUUGCUACCUCCUGACUUCUGCUGUCUUCAUCACUUCUGACUUUCAUAAAACGUUCCCCCGCAGAGGUGCAGUCAGUGUUGCUGCUAUAAAGGCAGUGAGGAACACUGCCAGUGUCCAGGGGUCCUCAGAGAACAGCUUUCUUUUCCCAUCAGAAAAACUGUGGCUAUGAAUUACCAUUUCUAUGUUGCUUUGAGAGAACAGAAAUGUUACGUCUGUGUUCCUUUCUGUUUCUGCCACUCUCUUGCUACCUCAAUAGUAUUCAUGCUAUGAGGAAGGACGAGAUCACUUUCCUUGGGAAAGAGGAGGUACUGAGGUAACCAGGGAUGACUGCAGAACCAGGACAAGGAGAAAUGGUCAUAUGGACUGUAAAACUGAGCCACUGCACUAUACUGAAGUCAAGCUUUCUCUGUGCAUUGAUGCAUCCCUGUUAUCUAGGGGAACCAUGGCAAGCAAAUUCAUUUGUUGCAUAUACCUUCUCCAGACCAAGGAGAGGAAAAUUCUCCUUCCCAUAAUCUCCACUUUCUCAAGACUGACUCAAUCAUCUCUGUUCAAGAGGAUGAAGAGAAGAAUUUGGUGAUAUAUGGAAAUGGCUGAGUCACGGCCUGAACUACUGAUUGAGCACCUGGGGAAAGGACCCGGUCAGCUCUGGAAGCACAGGUGAAGGCAAUUCAGCUGUGUGAUCAGAAGGGGUGGAGCCUGGUUGCACCUCUGUUAGACCUCAUUGAAGUGCUGACCCCCACUGCAGAAGGAUCUCUGGUUGGAGAUCUCCUCCUUGUGCUUUUUCCCUGCGACCAUAGAGAGAUGUUGAAAGCUUCUGGAUGACAGAGGAGGAGAAGCCCUUAUGUUGCAAGGACUCGGUGAACACAAGUGAUUAUAUGAUGAUGAUGAAUGGAAGGUGGGCUUAACUGUGACCAAGAGCACACAGGCAGAUACACUUGUGUGCUUCCUUCCAGCAUGCACUGCUCUGAUUUCUGCAGGGGACCAAAGAUCUCUUCUAGCAAAAACAACAACAACAAAAAAGCCUAAAUUCAGGAGGCAGAAUCCACUGAAGAUGCUGGAAAGCUGCAUAGCUGAAACUGUGAAUGAAAGAGAAGACUGUUUACCAGGCAAUAGGGAAACUCCCAGCACAUGUUCUCAGAAUCACCUGUCUGCAAUUCAGCACCCCGUGGACACAGGCGCAGGCUUGAGAUGAGGCAGUGCAGGCUCUUUUCUGACCCCACAAUGUAUGCAUCAGGGGACAUUUAGAGGACCAAAUGGUGAAGAUCUCCCAGAGGAUCACCCCGAAGCUCCAGACGUCACUCUCCGUUGUGAACUUCCUGUACAUGAUGCUCUCUGGAGGCAUCCAGCGGAUAGGCAGCAUGGUGUGUCCUCCAACCUGCAUGAGGAAAAAGGCAUGAGGAGAUCUGAGGACCUGAGGAAGCACUCAGCUCUGAUGGAAUAUGGACGGACUUGGGGCCUCCCCAUGAGAUACAUCAACACGGAGCCAAAAGACCUGGGUUGGAUACAGCCUCCCCGACCGCCCAUGGGCUUAACCGCCAGUCCCACCUGGUUAGCACGAUGGAUAGGGAGUGAAAUGUAUCAAGACGAAUGAUGUCCCCUCCUCCCCAGAUGGGCUUGUAAAGUAAUAAAACAACAAAAUGCCAAGGGUGUGCUCAAACCCUACAGUGAUGAACCAGGAGGUAAGGCAAGGAGCAGAGUGUUCUGUGGGGUGCUGCAGUGGGUUUUGCAGGGCCUCAGCACCCACCAGAAAUACAGAGCAGGGUUUGCUGCUCCUUGCUGAGGCUUGCUAAAAGCCGAAUGCAAGCCUGUGCUCAUCACCUAAUUGUGUGAAAGAUGUUGUGCUCGUAAAAUUGUGCUACAGGCCUUUUUGAAGAGUGCUAUGAAUAUGUAAACGACUGCAGGACCGCAAUGCAAAAAGGAGGCCUGUAUGUAAAGAAUAGGCUUGUGCAUGCAGGGAUAUGCCCAGUGGUUAAUGGAGGUAGGAAAGCCAGUUCUUUGGAGAGCUUGGAAAUGGAGGAGGCCAAAGGUGAAGUCCCGUUGGAGUAUUCAGGAGAGAAAGGUCCUUUCUCCAUCAGGGUCUGCAGCCUUUCAGUAUCUAGUGGGGAUAUAAGAAAGAAGGGGGCAGACACUUUAGCAGAGCCUGUUGCAAUAGGACAAGAGGAGAUGGUUUCUAACUAAAAAAAGGAGAGAUUUAGAUUAGAUGUAAGGAAGAAGUUUA
Molecule: RNA transcript, 7320 nt
Organism: Lagopus leucura (white-tailed ptarmigan)
Lineage: Eukaryota; Metazoa; Chordata; Aves; Galliformes; Phasianidae
Gene: AGBL1
Gene name: AGBL carboxypeptidase 1
Exons: 35
Source: RefSeq, a predicted model, not a curated record